This is an RNA transcript of Balaenoptera ricei (Rice's whale), 6276 nucleotides long. It is a transcript of the gene named acyl-CoA dehydrogenase family member 9, with no coding region annotated. The record is from RefSeq and is a predicted model, not a curated record. NCBI's taxonomy places the organism in Eukaryota, Metazoa, Chordata, Mammalia, Artiodactyla, Balaenopteridae. The transcript is spliced from 19 exons.
CUCCCGGGGCGAGUGACUUAAGGCGCUGGGAAAGCGGCGGCGGCGGCGACGGCGACGACGACGACGACGACGACGACGAGAGCGACUCGGGACAGCAUGAGCGGCUGCGGGCUCUUCUUGCGCUCGGCGGCGGCGGCGCGCUCGUGCCGUGCCCUGGUGGCCUUCACCGCGAGUCGGCGCCCGCUGCGCACCAGUCCACCGAGCCAAGCUUUCGCCAAGGAGCUCUUCCUGGGCAAAAUCGAGAAGAAAGAAGUUUUCCCGUUUCCAGAAGUUAGCCAAGAUGAACUUAAUGAAAUUAAUCAGUUUGUGGGACCUGUAGAAAAAUUCUUCACUGAAGAGGUGGACUCUCAAAAAAUCGACCGGGAGGGAAAAAUCCCAAAUGAAACUUUAGAGAAACUGAAGAGCCUGGGGCUUUUUGGGAUGCAAGUCCCAGAAGAAUACGGUGGCCUGGGCCUCUCCAACACCAUGUACGCGCGGCUGGGGGAGAUCAUCAGCCUGGAUAGCUCCAUCGCCGUGACGCUGGCAGCACACCAGGCCAUCGGCCUCAAGGGCAUCAUCUUGGCCGGCAGCGAGGAACAGAAGGCCAGGUACCUGCCCAGGCUGGCGUCCGGGGAGCACGUGGCCGCCUUCUGCCUGACGGAGCCCGCCAGUGGGAGCGAUGCCGCCUCCAUCCGGACCAGGGCCACGUUAAGUGAAGAUAAGAAACACUACGUCCUCAACGGCUCCAAGGUCUGGAUCACCAAUGGAGGACUGGCCAGUGUUUUUACUGUGUUUGCAAAGACAGAGGUUGUUGAUUCUAAUGGCUCAGUAAAGGACAAGGUCACAGCGUUCAUAGUAGAGAGAGACUUUGGUGGAGUCACCAGCGGGAAACCUGAGGAUAAGUUAGGAAUCCGAGGCUCCAACACCUGCGAGGUCCACUUUGAGAACACCAGGGUGCCCGUGGGAAACAUCCUCGGAGAAGUUGGAGGCGGCUUUAAGGUGGCCAUGAACAUCCUCAACAGCGGGCGGUUCAGCAUGGGCAGUGCCGUGGCCGGGAUGCUCAAGACGCUGAUCGAAAUGACCGCCGAGUACGCCUGCACAAGGAAACAGUUCAACAGGAACCUCAGCGAGUUUGGACUGAUUCAGGAGAAGUUUGCCCUGAUGGCUCAGAAGGCUUACGUGAUGGAAAGCAUGGCCUACCUCACCGCGGGGAUGCUGGACCAGCCGGGCUUUCCCGACUGCUCCAUCGAGGCCGCCACGGUCAAGGUGUUCAGCUCCGAGGCCGCGUGGCAGUGCGUGAGCGAGGCGCUCCAGAUCCUCGGGGGCUCGGGCUACAUGAGGGACUACCCGUACGAGCGCAUCCUGCGUGACAGCCGCAUCCUGCUUAUCUUCGAGGGAACCAACGAGAUUCUCCGGAUGUACAUCGCCCUGACAGGCUUGCAGCAUGCCGGCCGCGUCCUGACUGCGAGGGUCAGGCAGCUUAAACAGGGCAAUGUGACCACCAUCCUGGAGACUGUCGGCCAGAGGCUUCGGGACUCCCUGGGCCGAACUGUGGACCUUGGGCUGACAGGGAAGCUCGGAGUCGUGCACCCCAGCAUGGCGGACAGCGCCCACAAGCUCGAGCAGAACGUGCACUACUUCAGCCGCACCGUGGAGACCCUGCUGCUUCGCUUUGGCAAGAGCAUCGUGGAGGAGCAGCUGGUCUUGAAACGAGUGGCCAACGUCCUCAUCAACCUGUACGGGAUGACGGCCGUGCUGUCGCGGGCCAGCCGCUCUAUCCGUGUGGGGCUCCAGAACCACGACCACGAGGUUCUGUUGGCCAACAUCUUCUGCACGGAAGCUUACCACCAGAAUCUCUGCACCCUGUCUCAGCUGGACAAGCAUUCUCCGGAAAAUCUCGAUGAACUGAUCAAGAAAGUGUCCCAGCAGGUCCUGAAGAAGCGAGCCUACGUCUGUGCCCACCCUCUGGACCGGCCGUCCUGAAGCAGGGGGUCAGCGUCCCUGCUGCUGUCCGCCCGACACACGCCUUCCAGAAGAAACCAAGCCCAGAGCCGGGGCGGGACCUGCCCCCCGUCAUACAGCAAGUGACGAAUCCAGCUGGAACCAGAAGUUCCAGCCCAGCCUGCGCUGUGACACCAGCCCAGGAGUGUGGCUGCUAAAACAGAACGGGUGCCGCCCACGGUUACCUGUCCUGGGCUGUGGCGCCGGAGGGGGCGGCAGCUCCAAGAAUGGCGGCGGCUGCGUGUACAGAUCGAAGUCCUGGGGGCGCCGGUCCCAGCCCCAGCUCUCUCGGUGCAGCACCGGCUCCAGCACGUUAGCAAACAGUGCCUUCUCCCUCCACUCCUACGUCGGGGGGCAGCAGGUCAGGGGGAGGCCCCUGCGGACGCCCGCCGGAGACCCACUCCCGCCACCCACCUCUGUGAUGGCGCCGGGGGGUGGCAGCCCCAAGUGAUGUGUCCUGCCAGUGCUGUGAAGACCGGUCACUUGGAAGCCGCUGGGUGUGAGCCAGGCGUCGCGGGACUUCCUCUCGGCUUUUCUCUUCUCCUCCUCUGAAUCCUGAGGCUCCACUGUGGCUGACAGGUGGCUCUGGGAGUACGUGAGUCUCUUCCUCGGCUCCUGGAAACGCGAGCAGACGUGGAUAGACGGGCUGACAGCGGACCUCGGGGCGGCGGACCGGCUGCCAGUCUUGGGGGCAGGGUGCUGGCUCCUGGUGGUGCGGGGUGCCUGCUGGUUACCAGAGCCAGGCAGCAGCCCAGCGAGGGCCACGUCCCUGUUCCCUUUGACAGAGCCCUUUUCUGAAGUGGUCAGGGCGGGAAGGAAGCCUAAGCCCAGGCUUUCCCUGCCGGGGUUAGGCUGCCUUUCCUAGGCAGCAAUGAAGGGCUACCGAGAGCCACGCACACCUGGACAGGCGCUGGGGGCCUCUGGGCUCAACGUGGCGUGUAGAGGGUUCACGCCUCUCUGUGCCGGCGCUCGUCCCUUGUCGGCUCCUCCCCACCCCGGAGACCCCCCGCCGCCCUGCCUGGAGUGGAGGUGCGUCACUGCUCCCCACCCUGGGCCUUAACUCACCUUGGCCGUCUCUCGAUACAGCUCCUUCUUUGCAAGCUCUGUAGAGUUCAGGGUCUGGAUACUGUAGUUAGAGACAGCAUCCUUGGCCGGGGCUGAGAUCUUGAUCACCUUCACAACAGACUUGGGAGACUUCUUGCUGACCUCGUAGGCCCCCGAGAUGUUUUUCUGGAGAAAGAGACACCAGUCACUCCUCACAAGCGGCCUGCUCGCCAGCAACUGUCAGUGUGUACCCAGCCAGCUGACCUCUGGGACACAGCUGCCCUGCAGGUACCUGUCCUGAGAGCAUAAACAGACCUCUGCCUAAAGGACCAUCAGGACAAGCCCUCACUGCGCACAUUGUAAUUCGAGGACCGAAAAAGUGGAACCCUCCUCCAUUUUCGUGCGAAUGUACAUUGGUAAAAGCCACCGUAAAGGACAGUAUCGAAGUUCCUAACAAAACUAAAAAGAGCCCGGCCCCAGGAGCACUCCUGGGCAUCUAUCUGGAGAAACCCAUAAUUGGAAAUGAACCAGGCGCCCCGGGGUUCAUUGCAGCACUGGUUCCAACAGCCAGGACACAGAAACAACCAAAAUGUCCACCAACAGAUGACUGGAUAAGACAACGUGGUACGUAUAUACAAUGGACUAUUACUCAGCCAUAAACAAGAAUGAAAUAAUGCUACUGGCGGCAACAUGCAUGGACCUGGGAUGCACAUACAGUAAGUGAAGUGAGUCAGAGGAAGAUGAACAGCAUAUGAUAUCACCUAUACCUGGGACUGAACAACAGAUACACAUGAACUCAUUUAGAAAACAGCAACACACACACACACUUGGAAAACGAACGUAGGGUUACCAAAAAGGAAAAGUGGGGGCCAAGGACAAAUUAGGAGGUUGGGCUUCAUAUACACACAAGUGUAUUUAUAUAUGUGUGUGUGUGUAUAUAUAUAUGUGUGUGUGUGUGUGUGUGUGUGUAUAUAUAUAUAUAUAUACACACACACAUACAUACAUUUGAUGGAUAAUCAACAUGGACCUCCUGUAAAGCACAGGGAAAUCUGCUCAGUGUUCUGCAAUAACCUAUAUGGGAAAAGAACUCAGAAUAGAUACAUGAAUAUCAAUAAGUGAAUCAGGUUGCUGUACACCUGAAAACAACACAACAUUGUAAAUCAACUAUACUCCAACAUAUCAUGAAAAUAAACAAGAAUAGCAAAGAAAUGUCUGCUCUAUUCCCCUCUGGCCUCAGGGACCUGGGCUGGUAUCACAUACCUGAAGCCUGAGCAGACUUUGGUCCCAAGGCUGCACUGUGCUGGGGAUGAGGGAGCACGGGAGGGUGUGCUCCCACAUGGGGCCCCCCUUGGACCUGUCUUGUCCGUUCCCCUUGGGAGGGGACCACCAUCUCCAGAUCCAGGUGGGCCCUCCUACACCUAAACGAAGCCGAGCACACCCAAACGACAGUGGACCCUCUGGGCUGGAGGAGCUUCGAGAAGUCACCUGGUCUGCACGUCUCCUGCAGGCAGGGGGCCUCCAGCCUCCUUCCUGGGAGUCACCCUACCUAUGAAACACAGCACACACUCAGGGCCGUUUGCAGGGGUUGCCGUUUGUCUCGGGGGGCAGGGGUGAGGCUGAAGGGGGAAGAAGUAGUGAGACCCAAGCCCUUGAGACUUUGCUCUGGCACAUUCCCCUCUAAUUCACAGCCCAGGAAGCAGACUUUCCCUAAGGCUUUUUGUUGCCAAGUAACUGGAGUUGGGCAUGAAGAAAUGCUGCCGCCUUGUGGACGUUUCCCGGAACAACUUUACAACGGGUGCUUCAGGGCACCUCAUAUUCACAAAGCUUGAAGGGCUGUUAAUAACGCUGAAUUCCAAACACAGCCGACUUUCAAAAAGCCAAUUUGAAGAGGCGAAUUUUAUACCGUUUGAAGAGGAAAAAAAAACCCAAAGAGGAAGAUGACAAGAUGCUCAACAUUGCUAAUUCUGAGAGCAAAGCCAAUGAAAACUACAGUGAGGUGUCACCUUCCACCAGUCACAAUGGCCAGCAUCAAAAAAUCUACAAGCAGUAAAUGCUGCGGUGAGCCUAGAAAAAAGGGAACCCUCUACAGUGUUGGUGGGAAAGUAAAUUGGUGCAGCCACUACGGAGAACAGUAUGCAGGAUCCUUAAAAAACUAUUUGCACAGUUACCGUACAAUACAACAAUCCCACUCCUUGGUUUAUCUCUGGAGAAAAGUGUAGUUGGAAAAGAUCAUGAACCCUAAUGUUCACAGCAUUACUAUUACAAUAGCCAAGACAUGGAAGCAACCUAAGUGUCCACUGACAGAUGAAUGGGUAAGGAAAACAUGGUAUAUAAACAAAAUGGAGGGCUUCCCUGGUGGCACAGUGGUUAAGAAUCCGCCUGCCAAUGCAGGGGACACGGGUUCGAGCCCUGGUCCGGGAAGAUCCCACAUGCCGCGCAGCAACUAAGCCCAUGCGCCACAACUACUGAGCCUGUGCUCUAGAGCCCACGAGCCACAACUGCAGAGCCUGCGUGCUGCAACUACUGAAGCCUGUGCACCUAGAGCCCGUGCUCCACAACAAGAGAAGCCACCGCAAUGAGAAGCCCGCACUCCACAACAAAGAGCAGCCCCGGCUCACCGCAACUAGAGAAAGCCCGCGCGCAGCAAUGAAGACCCAACACAGCCAAAGAUAAACAAAUACGUUUUUAAAAUAAGUAAAUAAAUACAAUGGAAUAUCAGUCAGCCAUAAGGAAGAAUGAAAUAAUGCCAUUUGCAGCAACAUGGAUCCACCUAGAGAUGAUCAUACGUGAAGCAAGUCAGACAGAGAUAGACCAAUAUCAUAUGAUAUCACUUAUAUGUGGAAUCUAAAACGUUAUAAGUGUAAUACAGGGAACUAUACUCAAUAAUCUGUAAUAAUAUAUAUGGGAAAAGAAUCUAAAAAAGAGUGGUUAUAUGUAUAACUGAUUCAGUUUGCUGUACAGCAGAAACUAGCAACACUGUAAAUCAACUAUACUCCAAUAAAAAUUAUAAGAACAAAAAAAAAACAGCAUGAGAGAAAGGGGCUUAUUUACAAAACAGAAGCAGAAUCAGACAUAGAAAACAAAUUUAUGCUUACCAGAGCAGUAAGGGUGGUGAGGGAUAAGGUAGGAGUUUGGGAUUAGCAGAUACACCCUACUGUAAAUAAAAUAAACAAGGUCCUACUCUAUAACACAGGGAAAUACAUUCAAUAUCUUGUGAUGAUUACCUAUGACGGAGAAGAAUAUGAAAAGUAU